Molecule: long non-coding RNA, 1531 nt
Filed under: Sorghum bicolor (sorghum)
Lineage: Eukaryota; Viridiplantae; Streptophyta; Magnoliopsida; Poales; Poaceae
Description: long non-coding RNA (SBIC_LNC010914)
Source: RNAcentral
CCGUGGCUUCUGGAUCCUUCUAGAUUGAGGAAAAUUGCGCGGCACGUAAUUAUCUCGUUGUAAACAUGACAUGUGGGCCUUCUCUCCCUAUUUUCUGAUAAACCCCUGUAGAAAUAGAUAAACACCAAAGCUCGUGGAAUUCUGUCAGAUAAAACCCCUAUUCUAGAUGUUUGUUUCAUAUUGAUCCUUUUUCAUGUUUAUUUGAUUAUUAAUUUUAGUACUUAAGGACCGUCAACAAACUCCCCCAAGCUUACCCUUUGCUCGUCCCUGAGCAAAUAGCUAAACUCAGAUGGAUCUGGAGUUGCUUCGAUGUUUUCUUUCCUGACAGGCACACAUGCUUUUACAUAAAAAAUUCUUCCAGAUUAGAGUGAAGUGUUAUGGAGUUUAGUACCUGUACUUAAAUCUUAAGUAAUCGAAAGACAAAAUAGUUAAGUCAAGCACUAUCCCUCCUGCCUAUACUUCACCUUUGUUCUAGAGUUUUUCAUAAGUUUUCAAAAUAAAACUCAGAGUUCCCAGCAAUGAUUCUCUCAGGUCUCUCUAUAUGUGGUAUUUGUGGAUCCUUACCAUAAUGUCACUUACCUAUAGCUAAUGGAAUAUUUAAGUGGAGCUCAUAGGAGUGGAAAACAGCUCAUACAUAUGUUGUCUAAUCGAGCCUUGGAUCCAAAGGAACUCAGCAUAUAAUUAAAUUAAGAUGUGCAUGUGUGGUGGAGUAAAUGAUAGUGAUGAUGAAAAUGCGAUAGUGUUAAUAAAUCUUAGUUCUCAUUGCUCUUCAUAUUGCUAUCUCUCCUCCUCUUUGAUCUUUGCCUUGGGAGAACAUGGGCUUUUUUUUUCAGGUGGGUAGUAGAUACCCCUAAUUCUACUGUCGGACACUUGUCCAUUUUUUUCGCUCAAGUGGGUAUCUUUGUACCCCUAAUUCUACUUCGGACACUUGUCCAUUUUUACCUCUCGUCUCACUCUUUUUCUUUCUUUUCCGAGGUUCCUGGGCACUUGCCCCUUUUUAUUUCCUCGUAUAUUUUUUUGCAUAACCCAUGCCUCUUCUGCAUUGAAUCUUUUUAGAGAGAGAGAAUAACAAUACUUGGGACAGUGAGUGAUAAUAUUUUUAGCAAUUUUAAUGAUUGGUGAUGAAUGCUGUGGUAGAUGUGUGCAAGUGAAUAUCUUAAUUUAACCACAUGAAAAGCUCCUAAGGGUCAACACAGCUCGAUCAAACUCAAUGUAAAUAUAGUAAAAGAUGUUAUAGCAAGUAUGGCUGUGGUAGGUAGUUUGUUACGCUAGGAACUCAUCAUGUGAUUUGUAAGUUUUCAAAGUAAAUCUCCAGAACUUAGUGUAGUAGGAACAAGAUAAACAGUAGCUCAACUUUAUAUCAUGCCUUUCUCUUACCUAGACUUUAGUGUUAUGCUUCCCAAAGAUAGUAAUUUUAGUUUUAGUAAUUCCUGGAAGAACUCUAAUAUAAAGGCUAGGUACUUGUAAGUAAGCAAACAGAGCAACUGUUCAUCAUUUCCAUCAUGCAUAUUUUUGGUCUUUUUAUUUUUUU